Long non-coding RNA from Heterocephalus glaber (naked mole-rat), 489 nucleotides. NCBI's taxonomy places the organism in Eukaryota, Metazoa, Chordata, Mammalia, Rodentia, Bathyergidae. The record is from Ensembl.
ACUCAUCCUGCUACAUGGCUGGGCUGUAAAAGCAGAGCCCGCCCCUCUCCACACCCAGUAAUGAAGAGAGAACAGAGAGCAGUGCAGAAAGUCCAUUUCAAACACCCUGCAGAGCUGACACUGAAAAACAGCUCAUUUUCUCUUCUGGACCCAUUCCCAGCUAUCCCAUACUUUUAAUGAGGAGGAAAGACAUUUUCGUUUGCCCUCUGGACACAGACCUUGGCCUGCUCAAUGUGAGACCCACUUGUCACGUUCCUCAAAGCUGCUAACAGUGUUGUAGGUUAUUCCAGUGAUGGUUACCUUUACAAUUCAGUCUAUAUAUUACAACAACUUUGAGAUGGAUCAUGCCAGAGCUGAAGCAGGGAUGGAGACCAUUCAGAGAUCCAGCAUUUGAACAUGAACACAGUGACCGGGCAGACUGGUGUUUCCCUCCUGGGAAAGGGGUGUGUGGUGGUUCACCUGGGUUGUCAACUGGAUUGGGUUGAGAAG